This 496-nucleotide ribosomal RNA is filed under the name uncultured bacterium. RNAcentral's name for it is "partial 16S ribosomal RNA". It matches the Rfam family "Bacterial small subunit ribosomal RNA", at positions 29 to 507 of the family's 1533-position model. The record is from RNAcentral.
AUGAACGCUGGCGGCGUGCCUAAUACAUGCAAGUCGAGCGAACAGAUAAGGGGCUUGCUCCUUUGACGUUAGCGGCGGACGGGUGAGUAACACGUGGAUAACCUACCUAUAAGACUGGGAUAACUUCGGGAAACCGGAGCUAAUACCGGAUAACAUAUUGAACCGCAUGGUUCAAUAGUGAAAGGCGGCUUUGCUGUCACUUAUAGAUGGAUCCGCGCCGUAUUAGCUAGUUGGUAAGGUAACGGCUUACCAAGGCAACGAUACGUAGCCGACCUGAGAGGGUGAUCGGCCACACUGGAACUGAGACACGGUCCAGACUCCUACGGGAGGCAGCAGUAGGGAAUCUUCCGCAAUGGGCGAAAGCCUGACGGAGCAACGCCGCGUGAGUGAUGAAGGUCUUCGGAUCGUAAAACUCUGUUAUCAGGGAAGAACAAAUGUGUAAGUAACUGUGCACAUCUUGACGGUACCUGAUCAGAAAGCCACGGCUAACUACGUG